GACGAACGCUGGCGGCGUGCUUAACACAUGCAAGUCGAACGGAAAGGCCCUGCUUUUGUGGGGUGCUCGAGUGGCGAACGGGUGAGUAACACGUGAGUAACCUGCCCUUGACUUUGGGAUAACUUCAGGAAACUGGGGCUAAUACCGGAUAUGAGCUCCUGCUGCAUGGUGGUGGUUGGAAAGUUUCGGCGGUUGGGGAUGGACUCGCGGGUUAUCAGCUUGUUUGGGGGGUAGUGGCUUACCAAGGCUUUGACGGAUAGCCGGCCUGAGAGGGUGACCGGGGUCAAGGGGCCUAAGGGACGCAGCAGUAGCGUACCUGCCGCAGUGGUCGGGAGCAUGACGGAGUAAGGCGACGUGUGUGACGAAGAUGCUGCGAGCGGGAAGAUGGGUUUCGGGGUAUGAACAACUGUGUCAGGAAAUGUAGCGUGCGUGACGGUACUUAGUAAGAAAGCACCGGCUAACUACGUG
This 468-nucleotide ribosomal RNA is filed under the name uncultured bacterium. RNAcentral describes it as "partial 16S ribosomal RNA". It matches the Rfam family "Bacterial small subunit ribosomal RNA", at positions 28 to 507 of the family's 1533-position model. The record is from RNAcentral.